RNAcentral lists this ribosomal RNA (253 nucleotides) under uncultured bacterium. Its description in RNAcentral is "partial 16S ribosomal RNA". It matches the Rfam family "Bacterial small subunit ribosomal RNA", at positions 524 to 776 of the family's 1533-position model. The record is from RNAcentral.
UACGUAGGGGGCAAGCGUUGUCCGGAAUCAUUGGGCGUAAAGAGCGUGUAGGCGGCCCGGUAAGUCCGCUGUGAAAGUCCAGGGCUCAACCCUGGGAUGCCGGUGGAUACUGUCGGGCUCGAGUCCGGAAGAGGAGUGUGGAAUUCCUGGUGUAGCGGUGAAACGCGCAGAUAUCAGGAGGAACACCAAUGGCGAAGGCAGCACUCUGGGACGUGACUGACGCUGAGACGCGAAAGCGUGGGGAGCAAACAGG